AUAUUCCUGUGGGUCGCCUGCUGUCCACCUCGAGUGGCAUCUGACCGGAAGGCCCUUCUCUCCCUGGGCUCUGGCCUCCAUCUUUUCUGCCCCAGGACCCCCUGCCUCUUUCCAGCCCCUUCUGCACCCCAAGAUCCCAGCUCGGCCCUGGGGUCAGAGCCCGCAGGACACCUCAUUCCUACACACACCUCUGCAGGCUGGAUGCUCCGCGUCCUCCCGACGGACUCCGGCUGGAACUGCGCGAAGGAGGCUCUCCUGCUCCUUCUUACCAAAAGGCUCCUCCCAGGAUGAGGUGGGUGGAAAGAGAGAAGAGGGGGCAAAUUUCAUGAGAAAAAAGGCUCAUUAAAAAAAGUGUGCAAGGAGGGGCAGGCCUUGGGAGGAUCAGAGAAGAGGGGGCAGGCCUGGGGGGGAGCUGAGAGAGGGUCGUGCAGGCUGUGUGCAGGGGCUGGACAGCAGAACCCAAGGACAGAGGAAGGGGCGUGUAUCACCUCGGGGCCUGGGGGGACAGGGGUGCCCAGGCACCCAGGGUGGAAACAGACAACCCCCAGCUGUGUUUUCAGGGCUCAUGGGUCACGGAGCAGAGCCAGGCGGGAGUUCCAGCUCUGCAGGCCAGCCGGAGGGGACAGCACCCCGCCCCCUUGGCUUGCCUCAGGCUCGGGGGUGGCCUGGGUUCCACCCAGCGAUGCCUGAAUCCCGGGCACAGUCAGCCCCAGGACCUGGCUCCCCAACUUGGAGAGAGGCCAGAAAAGCACAGCCACUGGAGCAGUCGGGACCCACCGGGGACGGAGCCGCAGAAACAGACCAUCUGUCAAUCGCCCUUGGACCCCAGAGCCAGUCCUGCCGGUUGAAGUGUGUUAUUUGGAUGCUGCAGAGAGAUGUGUUUUCUUUAUCUGCGAGGCCGUUAACACCUCUCCUCUAAAUGACGCUUCAAAGACCCUAUUUUAUACAGACAACUUCAAAAGGACCUCUGAGCUUUGGCUCCAGGCCUCGCCCUGGGAACCAGGGCAGAACGAGACAGACCCUGGAGACACUACAGAUGGAAUACUACUGCAGGAGGGCCAGAGGUCCUGCAAUUUGGUCCAGAAAACAGGAACGGGAAGAGUCCAUGUUGGGUGAGUGUAUUAAUUUCCUCUUUCUACUGUAGCAAAUUGCCCCAAAUUUAGCAGCUUAAAACAACAGAAAUUUAUCAGGUCACGGGUCAGAUGUCCAGGCUCUACCGGUUUCUCUCUGCUCCAGGUUUUACAAGGGCAAAACCAAGGCGUCAGCCAGGCUGGCCUCUGAUCAGGGAGUUCUGGGAAGAACCAUUUCCAAGGUCAUUCGGGUGAUGGCCAAGGUCAUUCAAG
RNAcentral lists this long non-coding RNA (1343 nucleotides) under Canis lupus familiaris (dog). Its description in RNAcentral is "lncRNA (ENSCAFG00000059025.1, ENSCAFG00805015694.1, ENSCAFG00845015826.1)". Lineage: Eukaryota; Metazoa; Chordata; Mammalia; Carnivora; Canidae. The record is from RNAcentral.